RNAcentral lists this ribosomal RNA (450 nucleotides) under uncultured bacterium. Its description in RNAcentral is "partial 16S ribosomal RNA". It matches the Rfam family "Bacterial small subunit ribosomal RNA", at positions 354 to 796 of the family's 1533-position model. The record is from RNAcentral.
GUGGGGAAUUUUGGACAAUGGGCGCAAGCCUGAUCCAGCAAUGCCGCGUGCAGGAAGAAGGCCUUCGGGUUGUAAACUGCUUUUGUACGGAACGAAACGGUCCGGGUUAAUACCCUGGGCUAAUGACGGUACCGUAAGAAUAAGCACCGGCUAACUACGUGCCAGCAGCCGCGGUAAUACGUAGGGUGCAAGCGUUAAUCGGAAUUACUGGGCGGAAAGCGUGCGCAGGCGGUUUUGUAAGACAGGCGUGAAAUCCCCGGGCUUAACCUGGGAAUUGCGCUUGUGACUGCAAGGCUGGAGUGCGGCAGAGGGGGAUGGAAUUCCGCGUGUAGCAGUGAAAUGCGUAGAUAUGCGGAGGAACACCGAUGGCGAAGGCAAUCCCCUGGGCCUGCACUGACGCUCAUGCACGAAAGCGUGGGGAGCAAACAGGAUUAGAAACCCCAGUAGUCC